Molecule: non-coding RNA, 71 nt
Organism: Lichtheimia ornata
Lineage: Eukaryota; Fungi; Mucoromycota; Mucoromycetes; Mucorales; Lichtheimiaceae
Source: the annotation of a RefSeq genome assembly
GGUCUUGUGAUGUAAUGGGAACAUGCAGUACUAACGCGCCUGUAAUCCGAGUUCGAUCCUCGGCGAGACCU